RNAcentral lists this small nuclear RNA (131 nucleotides) under Theropithecus gelada (gelada). RNAcentral's name for it is "U2 spliceosomal RNA (ENSTGEG00000019853.1)". The stretch from base 1 to 111 matches the Rfam family "U2 spliceosomal RNA". Rfam says of the family: U2 is a small nuclear RNA (snRNA) component of the spliceosome (involved in pre-mRNA splicing). Complementary binding between U2 snRNA (in an area lying towards the 5' end but 3' to hairpin I) and the branchpoint sequence (BPS) of the intron results the bulging out of an unpaired adenosine, on the BPS, which initiates a nucleophilic attack at the intronic 5' splice site, thus starting the first of two transesterification reactions that mediate splicing. The record is from RNAcentral. Lineage: Eukaryota; Metazoa; Chordata; Mammalia; Primates; Cercopithecidae.
AUCGCUUGUCCGCCUUUUGGCUAAGAUCAAGUGUAGUGUCUGUUCUUAUCAGAAGUUACUUUCUGGUUUUGUCCCACAAGUUAUGAUUGUUUAACCUAAUAAUUACAUUACUCAGAUAUAGGGCAAGUCUU